UAUUAGCAGAGACCGCCGGAACCUAAGAUAAGUUGAGUGCCUUAAAGAGAUUGACUGAGAUUCACAAGGCUACUCUGUUUACUUCCAGAAUGCCUGGCGUGUCACAACCAUCCUCUUAACAAUUACAUAUCCCAGCACCACAGAUAGAAUCAGCAUCCCCUCCGCUUGCUGGCCAAAACUGCCUCUUUUUCCGGAGCGUCAUGGACGGGACAGGAUGGGGCAAGAAGACCUUCCCAGCGAAGAAAGAGAAAACAGCAGAGAGCUUUUGAAUCUGCAGCUCAUCCUUCCAGCACGGACGCUCUGCAGCCGAGACGUGGGAGCUGGCUGCUUCUGUUCAGGAAUUUGGCCUAGGGGUUCCGGCCCCUGCUGAGCAUGGAAGCUGCAGAAAGGCCCCACUUGCUGGAGAGCAGCAAGAGGACACAAAGCAAGCAGCCCUCUCACUUCCGAAAG
Molecule: long non-coding RNA, 450 nt
Organism: Crotalus tigris (Tiger rattlesnake)
Lineage: Eukaryota; Metazoa; Chordata; Lepidosauria; Squamata; Viperidae
Exons: 3
Source: RefSeq, a predicted model, not a curated record